UAAAAUAAAAUUUAAAAUAAAAAGGGGGAGCAGAGAUAUGGGUAGCCUUGAGCUGGACCUUGAAGAUCGAGUGGGAAUCAGCAGGGGUGGGGGCACAUUUGGGCUGUGCUCCUUCUGGAAGCUCUAGGGGGAGAGUCUUGUUCCUUGCCUCGUCUAGCUUCAGGUGGUUGCUGGCAUUCCUUGGCUGUGGCCAAAUCGCUUCAUUCUCUGCUUCUGUGAUCCCAUUGCCUGCUCUCUGUGAAAUCUCCUUCUGCUCCUUCUUAUCAGGAUACAUGGGAUGUAAUUUAGGGCCCACCUGCAUAAUCCAGGAUAAUCUCUCCAUCUUAGAGUCAUUAUCUUGAUAACAUCUGCAAAGUCUGUUACCAUACAAGGCAGUGUUCACAGAUUUCCAGGGGCUAGGACCAGGACAUCUUUGGUUGACCCAUUAUUCAGCCUCGCACACUAUUUUGCAGCCCCAGGACUGCUGACAGACACAUGGCAUGGCCACCACUAACCUGCAUUCAGGCGAAAUGGUCCCACCACUCUGUGCAAAACAGGGCAAGCUUUGCAGGCGAGGAGACCACCACCACCUUGGCAUAUGUCCCAUAUCCUCAUCCUAGUCCGUCAACGGAGCCCCAACAGGGUAGAAUGUCUCUGUGGUUUCUGGAGCUUACAGUUUCUGUCUGUCCUUUUCAACACUUUUGCCCUAUAGCCCUUCCUGUUAUUUUGUGUUUCUUAGAAUGUGGCUAGCCGGCAGCCAACAUUCAUUUGAACCCAUGCCCCAUGUCAUCACUUUAUGGGGAUUCUUUCUUUUAGGCCAAGACAAGCUGGUGGUGGGGAUACCAUUUCUCCCCUCGCUUCAGAGAGAAAGGAACCACGGUUCUUUGAUUGGCUCAGUGGGUGACAUGUCAAAAGUGGUGGAAGGAGGUUUCAACCCCAGGCCUCCAGGCCAUUGAGCCAGCGUGCCAUACACUGCCUUCCCGUCAGUCACAAGUCCAUCUGAUUAUCAGUUUCCAGUGGUAUUUUUGAAAAUCUGAUUUCAUUUCACUAGAUAACUAGCAGCAUUCCUGUUGAGAAGCAAUGGUGGGAAUUCAUACUUUAUUGGAAAACAUCUAAUAUUUUUAAAGAUGACGGACUGAGACUGUAUCCCCUUUUCAUAAGGGAAGUGUCUGGAGUGAAGUCGCCCUCUGUAAGAGGGCAGCAGAAGCUCAGCUUCCUUAAGUUGAAUUCAAGUGAUCUGCUAUAUUUCUGUUGCUGCUCAACAGCCCUUUCUUCAGAAGUGCCUCAAAUUAAAAUUAUAAACAGGAUUUUGAGGAGAUACUUAAAAUGCUUGAAGAACUGAAGCUGCUCUAGUCAGUUUAAAAGCGAUGACUUCUGUACGAAUAAUUGAUGUGCCGUCAGGUCCCCUCACCUGUCCUUCUCGGCACUACUUUGUCCACUUAUCUGCAGUUACUGUUUAUGUCAAAAUAAUGGAAGUACAUAGCUUCAGAGGCACCUGGCUGGCUCAGUCGGUGGAGUAUGGGACUCUUGAUAGCGGGGUCAUUAGUUCAAGACGUACAUUGGGCGUAGAGCUUACUUAAAAAAAUAAGUAAAUCAAGUUAAAAAAAAUAACAGAAAGUACAUGUCUUUAAAGUUCUUUAUACUACAUCUUUCACUUAGUCUGAUUUUGCCUUGAAUCCGUGAAAAUGACCAUAAUACAUGGCUGUUGCAGAGCUGUUAGGAUUUGGGGGGCUCCAGAAAUGGCAUCAUGUAUGUGAAUGGCUGAUGAGCACGUGAAAACAUGGAGCCCUCAUACACUGACAGUGGCAAUGUGAAAUGGUCCAACCACUUCUGAAAACAGCUUAGCAGUUUCCUAAAAAGUUAAAUAAACAUACAUUUACUGUAUGAUCCAACCAUUUCACUCUUCGGUAUUUACCCAAGAGAAAUGAAAACUUAAGUCCCUACAAAUCUGUGUGUGCGAAAGUUCAUAGCAGCGUCAUUCAUAGUAACCAAAUGCUAGAAACAACCAAGUGUCAAUCAGCUAAGGAGUGGAUAAGUAACAUAUGACCGGUCCAUACAAUGGAAUACAUCUUGGCCAUAAAAAGGAAGGAAAUACGGACGCAGGCUACAACACAGAUGCACCUUAAAAACAUGAUGCUAAGCGACAGCAGCCAGACAUGAAAGAUCACCUAUUAUAUGAUUCCAUUUAGAUGACGUUUCUAGUAAAUGCAGAACUAUAGAGACAGAAAGCAAAUCCAUGGCUGCUGGGGGCUGAGGGUGGGAGCAGGGAUUGACCUCAGGUGGCACACGAGACUUUGCGGCCGAUGGAAGCCCUCUACAAGUGGAUUGGGCUGAUGCCCAUGCAGCUGUAUACAUUUAUGCCGUCUCAUCAGACUGCACACUCAUGAUGGGUAAAGUCCCAUGCUUCAUAAAGGAUAACUCCAUAAAUACCGAAAUCAUCCAAAAAUGACAUCCUAGCAAUAACUCUUUGUAUACAUAAGUUUAGUAGUAUUUCUACGUCUCAAACGUUUACCAGAAGGCUGUCACUUUAUCUUGACGUAGGUGUUCUACUUACAAGCCACAGAAUAGUUCAUAUUUUGUCGAUUUAAAGGCUAAAAGGUGAUUUCCCUUGUGUCAGGCCUUUAAGGUCUAGACUAGACCUGUUGGGCCAGUGAUUUUUCUAAAAUGAUCGCUGCUAUGGGUUGAAUUGAACCCCGUCCCCCCAGAAUUUCAUCUAUUGAAACCUUGACCCCCCAGGACCUCAGAGUGUGACCUUUUUAGAACUAGGCUCCUUGCAGAUGCAAUGAGUUCAGAUGAUGUCAUACCGGAGUAGAGGGCCCCUGAUCCAGUAAGACUGGUGUCUUUAUUCAAAGGGGAAAUUUGGACACAGAGACACAGGCACAGGGAGAAAAUCGUGUGAAGAUUGCAGUUUUGCUGCCACGAGCCAAGGAACUCUACCAGAGCUAUGAGAAGGUCUGGAACAGGUCCUUCCCUAGAGCCUUCAGAGGGAGCCUGGCCCUGCCCACACUUUGGUCUCGGGCUUUUAGCAACAUAAUACAUUCCUGUUGUUUAAGCCACAGGCUGUGGUACUUGGCAAUGACACAGCCCUCAGUACUCUAAUCACAUGAACUUUAAAGGAGUUUGAAAUGCAGUUUGGCUUUGUGUGCAUUGAGUUUGGUUGUUGUUUUUUUUUAAUAACCUACUCUCAUUAGAAUGCCAUUGCCCCAGAGGAAGAGCAGCAGGCCCCACAGCUCCUGCUGUUCCAUUUGCAGAAGGCUUUCUGUCCUAGACAGUAGCAGUUUUUUGAAAACAUGACCUUUUCUGGGGUUCAAAACGAUCAUUUCAAAUGUCAGCAGUAUCUUACAGCUACCUCCUAAUCGCGUGUUCUUUGCCAGCUUGUUUUGACGGGAGCCAUUCAAGUAGCAGACAAAGUUUCUUCAGGGAAGAGCUCAGUGCUUGUGCACUGCAGCGACGGCUGGGACAGGACCGCCCAGCUGACGUCCCUGGCCAUGCUGAUGCUGGACAGCUUCUAUCGGAGCAUCGAGGGGUUUGAAAUAUUGGUGCAAAAAGAAUGGAUAAGUUUUGGACACAAAUUUGCAUCUAGAAUAGGUCAUGGUGAUAAAAACCACGCCGAUGCUGACCGAUCUCCUAUUUUUCUCCAGUUUAUUGAUUGUGUAUGGCAGAUGUCGAAACAGUUCCCUACAGCUUUUGAAUUCAACGAACGAUUUUUGAUUACAAUUUUGGAUCAUCUGUAUAGUUGCCGAUUUGGUACUUUCUUAUACAACUGUGAAUCUGCUCGAGAA
This is a non-coding RNA of Leptonychotes weddellii (Weddell seal), 3761 nucleotides long. Lineage: Eukaryota; Metazoa; Chordata; Mammalia; Carnivora; Phocidae. The record is from RefSeq and is a predicted model, not a curated record.